AUUGAAGCCAUGUGAGGGGUGGGUGGGCAGACAGCCAGGGCCCUGACCCCGGACAGCCAGGACUCUGACCCUCAGGAGAAGUGCAGUGGACUUUGGAUGCCAGACUGUCUGCAGGCUCUUUGCAAGGCUGGGCACAUUCUCCUGGGCUGAGUUGUAGCCCCAACUUGUACAAGGGCCAGUGGGGCUUGUGGCUCACUGUGAAUACGCAGCUCGGUGGGGACUUCGGCUGGAGAGGCUGCGACGGAACUCUCGGAGCAUCUCAGCGGGCAGAGGAUGGCCGUGCCCUUCAGGGAGCUCCGUGGUUCUACAGUCCGACCUUCUGUAGGCCGGGGUGGCCGGUCGCUCAAGAGCCUCAGCUGCUGCAGCACCGUCCACCCAACCUAUGCAAUGCAGGGAGUUUAUCAAGGGGUCACACGGUGUGGGAUGUGAUUCAGAUGAUCCACAGCAGCAAACUAUUUGCCUCGUGCCGGCUUUGAGAGGAGCUGUUUGCCAGCUGCAGACCAUUUAAAUCUGAGGACUCUGGGGAGAGAAUAAAAGCCAGAGCCCAGAGAAUGUGGAGUAACUCCGAGAGAGAACGAUGCUCCUCCUGCUCCUCCCACCCCACCCCCGAGGCUACUCUUGCUGUUGAUGCAGUGAGACAAGAAGUUGCAGAUUGGACUGGCUCCAAGGAACCCGAUGACCCUAACCAGCAGAAGCAGCUAAGAGAACUGUGUGCCCUCUCCCACUAACAUUUUCUCUCUCCUACCUGGUGUUGUUGGAAGGGAUUGGGGUGGAGUAGGAUGAAAGAGCUAUAAAAGAAAUGUAAAUAAAAGAGGUUUUUAAAAGUA
Molecule: long non-coding RNA, 827 nt
Organism: Psammomys obesus (fat sand rat)
Lineage: Eukaryota; Metazoa; Chordata; Mammalia; Rodentia; Muridae
Exons: 2
Source: RefSeq, a predicted model, not a curated record